This 465-nucleotide ribosomal RNA is filed under the name Triticum aestivum (bread wheat). Its description in RNAcentral is "partial small subunit ribosomal RNA". The record is from RNAcentral. Lineage: Eukaryota; Viridiplantae; Streptophyta; Magnoliopsida; Poales; Poaceae.
AUGGAGGACAUCUCUUUUCUCACGUUUCCGGAUACACCUCCCUCUAUCCCCAGUAUUCCUACUCCUCAUCCCACUGUUGCAGAUUUGAUGCCGUCCUCUCCUAUGGAUUCUUCUCCUCCCUCAUCGCAUGACUCUCCACCAUCAUCGCCAAUACCUUCCCCUUCACCUUCAUCACCAAUACCUUCCCCUUCUCCACCUUCAUCAUCGAUACAUUCCCCGCCUCCGUCUCCACCUCCAUUGAUUCCACCUCUUCCCUCCUUUCCUUUCCAUUAUACUCAUCGUCCACGUGUUGUGGAUGAGUCUACUGAUGUGCCCUCUACUUCUGGUGUGUCGUCUUCCUCCUCUCAACCGACUUAUCGUCUUCGUUCUCGGCCUUGUCCGCCUCCUGACCGAUAUUCUCCUUCACGUUAUGGUCUUUCGACCAUUCUUGAGCCGACUUCUUCGAGAUGCUAUUGUUCAUCCUGA